This 524-nucleotide ribosomal RNA is filed under the name uncultured bacterium. Its description in RNAcentral is "bacterial SSU rRNA". It matches the Rfam family "Bacterial small subunit ribosomal RNA", at positions 356 to 896 of the family's 1533-position model. The record is from RNAcentral.
GGGGGAUAUUGCACAAUGGAGGAAACUCUGAUGCAGCGACGCCGCGUGAGUGAAGAAGUAUUUCGGUAUGUAAAGCUCUAUCAGCAGGGAAGAUGAUGACGGUACCUGACUAAGAAGCCCCGGCUAACUACGUGCCAGCAGCCGCGGUAAUACGUAGGGGGCAAGCGUUAUCCGGAUUUACUGGGUGUAAAGGGAGCGCAGGCGGUUUUGCAAGUUGAGAGUGGAAGCAGGGGGCUCAACCCCCUGACUGCUCCCAAAACUGUAGGACUUGAGUAUGGGAGAGGCAGGCGGAAUUCCUAGUGUAGCGGUGAAAUGCUUAGAUAUUAGGAAGAACACCGGUGGCGAAGGCGGCCUGCUGGACCAAAACUGACGCUGAGGCUCGAAAGCGUGGGUAGCAAACAGGAUUAGAUACCCUGGUAGUCCACGCUGUAAACGAUGAAUACUAGGUGCUGGGAGGCAUAAGCUUUUCGGUGCCGUCGCAGACGCAUUAAGUAUUCCACCUGGGGAGUACGUUCGCAAGAAUG